GCAGCGAAAUGCGAUACGUAGUGUGAAUUGCAGAAUUCCGUGAACCAUCGAAUCUUUGAACGCAAAUUGCGCUCGAGGCUUCGGCCAAGAGCAUGUCUGCCUCAGCGUCGGCU
RNAcentral lists this ribosomal RNA (113 nucleotides) under Trebouxia simplex. RNAcentral's name for it is "partial 5.8S ribosomal RNA". It matches the Rfam family "5.8S ribosomal RNA", at positions 45 to 154 of the family's 154-position model. From Rfam's summary of the family: 5.8S ribosomal RNA (5.8S rRNA) is a component of the large subunit of the eukaryotic ribosome. It is transcribed by RNA polymerase I as part of the 45S precursor that also contains 18S and 28S rRNA. Lineage: Eukaryota; Viridiplantae; Chlorophyta; Trebouxiophyceae; Trebouxiales; Trebouxiaceae. The record is from RNAcentral.